UGUAUUAAUUAGAUCAGCAAACUUCAAUUCUAAUUUAAGAUAUUAAUUUAAUACUGAAUAUUUCCCAGUUUACUUGAACCUAAAAUUAAUUCUGGCUUCCAUAUUUUUAGAAUUUAUAUAUGCAAAGCCUUAUCCAAGGAAAUGCAGGGAAAAAAAGGCAUCUUUUAAAUCUAAUACAGUUAUCCAUGAUGCUGUGUCUGGAAUUUGUGAAAGAAGAGUGUAGGGAUUGGGCACCACUGGAUGUAAUGGGACCAGUGUCUCAUUUAUUAGAUGAAGGUCUUGUACUAGGCACCAAUCCCUGUUAAGUUUUUGCACUCUCAAUAUAGGAGUGUUACAAGGGCUGUUACAUUCAACUAAUAAUCUCUGUUCUCUUAUGUUUCCUAUAAUUGGCAUAAGUCACUGUCAUGCCUCGGGUCUCAGAGGAUACUGCCUUUGGCAAAGAAGCAAAUUUUGAUCUUUAAGACUUAUUUCCACCAGUUGAGUAUUCUUUGCUCUUCCUAUCUUUCCUCCUAUGGCCCAGACUUCUGAGUCAAUAUAUACUUCCAUCACAGGAAGGCAUAAAACUUGAUUGGGCUCCAUUGCCAUGUGCCUUUUUUUUUUUCUUUUUCUUUUUUUUUUUAGGGCAACACCCAUGGCAUAUGGAGGUUCCCAGGCUAGGGGUUCAAUCAUAGCUGAAGCCGCCAGGUUACACCACAGCCACAGCCAUGUGAGAUCCGAGCCACGUCUGCAAUCUACACCACAGCUCACCUCAGCGCUGGAUCCCCAACCCACUGAGCAAAGUCAGGGAUUGAAUCUGAAACCUCAUGGUCCCUAGUCGGAUUUGGUUCUGCUGAGCCAUGAUGGGAAAUCCUCCAUUGCCAUGUGAAUUGAAGCUUUAACCUCUUACAAAAUAUCUCUUUCUAAAAGAGGAGUUGGACUCUCUGGAACAAUCAGAAAGGCAUGAGAGAAAAUGGAUUCCCAGUCACAACUCAAAGGAUGCGUAAAAAUUUUUGUAACUGGCUUGCCAGAAAUACGAAUGUGGCAGAUUCAUGAGGGAGGGGCCCAGGAUUGGAGAGAAGGACUGAAAAGGUGGCCCGUAUCCAGGAAGUCAAUAGGCUGUCUUCCUACAUUUAGAGUCACCCAGGGCUCCUGGGUGGUGAUAAGGACAGAAGCCGUUAUGGAAAUGUCCCGUCAGUCUUGAUCCUGGGCCUGAGGGGGUAAACACCAGAGACCUUGUUUUCAGGGGCAGUUCCUCUUCCAUUGAUCUCUCCAACAUAUGGGGCACAGCCUAGGUGCUGUGGUCUGAGGCUUGGGGCAUUGCCAUUUAAAGUGUCCCUCUUUUGCACAGAGAAAACAGGCUCCAGGCAUAGGUCUCUGCCCUAGUCCUCCUGCCUUGGAAGCGCCCAGGUUGACUCCCUGUAGCACUGUAACCAGAGCCUCAGCCUUUUCUCUGUCUCUCCUCUUGUUCUCUUUUCAUUCUUCCUGGCCCCGAUUAUAACAUACUUGAGUUGCUACUCUGAGGAGGUGCUCCAGGUCCUGAUCAGGGCCAAAAGCCAAUUUUUAGAGCUUUCUCCAUAUAUCUGGCACUGAUUGAGCUAUGAAUUUAUGCUUAAGAAUUAUUCGGUCCUCCAUUGUUUCUGGGUUCCUUGGUGUAUGUUUUAUCAAUGCCUUUCUGAGUCUUUCUAAGAAGGCUGAUGGACUCUCUUGUUCCCCUAGUAAACCUCUAAUAAUUUUUAAUGGGUUUUACUCAUGAGGCUUUUAAUCCCUCAACUAUACAAGUAAUAAAAUGAUUUCUACACCAAUUGUGGUUAUCUCCCUCAUCAGCAGACCAACUGGGAUCACUCAUAGGAACUGCUUGACACCCUGUGGGGAAUUUUGUUCUAUCUCUUCUAAUUUGCCUCUGGCAUUUAUAGCAUCAUUCCAUUCAUUUUCCCCAGCUUUGAGCAGUUUCAAAGACUUUGUGUAUUUUUUUUUCACUUAUAGCCAAUGUCUGUUUUAGCAAUAACAUGAUGUCCUUCCAGGAUAACUCAAAGGACUGAAUGAGAUCCUAAAAGAUCUCAAUAUAUCUGGGUCAUCAGCAAAUUUUCCCAAAUCUGUUUUUAUUUGCCUUAAGUCCUGAAGUGAAAUAGGCAUAUGGACCUGUAUUUGGUCCCCAUUCUCCAUUUGCCACUUCUUGUAAAGGGAGUAGAGAGGGAUAUAACUUUGGCACUGGAGUGGGAAGAGGAGGAGACUUGGGCAGUAUUGGAGAAGGCUGAUUAACUUCUGGAGGGUCUGACCCAGUUGGGCCAGCAUAUGGUGGGCACCUAGGUCUUGAGGGAGUUGGCAUAAGCCUUCCUCAGUGUAGUGUCUUCCCUCAUUGUAAAGGGGAUCUGACAUAAGGCAACUCUGACCAUUCUCCUUCUCCUCUACCAAAAGGGUCUCAUUGGAGAAUUGUAUUAUAAGCUAGAGAGCCUUAAGAUGGCCAUCGCUCUCCAUCUGACAGAUUAUAUAGUGGGCAGGCUUUUGCUCAAAAGAAAAUUAAAUGUUUCUUUUUCAGAGUCUCAGGGUCAAAAUUUUUCCAGUUCUUCAAGGCACAUAUCAGAGGAGUUGCUAUAGAGCCAUGCGCCAGGCUUGAGGAUGUUACUCCCAUGCGAAAAAGAGAAAAGAUCAGCAUCCAGUGCCUAUUGUCCCUUCUUGGUUAUGUGAGGGCGUCCCCUCUCUUAGAUGAAGCAGCUGGACAUUAGUGGUCAAAUAUCCCAUCCGACCUCAGGCUGACUGGAAUUAACCACUCUUUACCACCAUAGCCUCUUUUCCUGUCGUCCCUGCCCAUUGCCUGUCUCUGGACAGAGGUAAAGAAAACCCAGACAUACAGGCCCUGCCCUGAGUUUUCGAAUCCUAAGAUGGUCGCUCUGACAUGACCUCUAUUAAUAUUAGGAAAGCUUCUAAGCCACAGUUAACAGGUAAAUUGGAUGAACCAGCUAUUGAUUUUUCCAACCAGAGUGAAAGUAAAUGGCAAAAAGCAAAACUGACAUGCCCAGGCUCUGAGGCUAAACACUUGGCCUAAGUUGGAUGAAUACUAGUUAUGAACUCCUUUUCCCCCACAGGCAUGGUAACAACUCAGGGUGGUCUUACCAUCUAGAGGUCUGUUUCCUUUGCCCCCACAGCUCUAUUUGAGGUAAUAGCAAAGGGAAUGAUGAAAGAUCAGGUUAGUUUUACACCAUAAUCUUCUGAAAAUCCCUUUUUGAAAUCUCUGAUCACACAGUCUAGCACCAUGGGUUUAGACCCAUGGUGUCUUUCUGUGUAUCUUGUCUGUGGCCUGAUGUUAUGAGACUUUCUCUGACCUCAUGGGUGGUAUCUCCAAUAGUGUUGCCUCCACCAUUCCUGUAAGCAAGACAGCUCCCACUCAGCUUGCUCUAUGGCUGGGGAGAGCACCUGCUUUGUUGCAAGUGUCUCUGAUCCAUCUAGUCCCCAGGUCUUGAGAAGACACUCUCAGACAAGUUCUAAUGUUUGGGCAAAGGUCAGGGGGCCUCAUACCCAAUCCUCCCUAUACCCUGAACUGAGACAGAGAUGACGGUCUUAUCUUCCUGACUCAGAUUCUGCGCCUAUGUGAACUGACAAAAUGGGCAGUCCAGCAGUUUAGAAUCUAGGAUGAGAGUUCCUGGAGGCCCAGGGGCAAGGUCAAGUUAGAUUAUCUCCUUGGAGGAAUUUAUGGCCCAAAUGGCGGGAGCACAGGGGUCUCUGGCUCAUGGGCUUCUGGGUUAGGUCCCACCCCAUGUGGCUGCCCUGUGCCGGUGUUGCAGACAAAACAAGGGAGGGUGCUCCCUUCUCAGAAGGUGGCCAUUCAGAUGUCCGACUGACCGCCCCCCUCUGGGGAGUUUAGGUGCCUCUUAGCAAUUGGCUGGUUCGUAUAAGCCCUGAACUUGGAUUGGACUCGCAGGGAGGGAAGAGAACCCUCAGAGUCCGCUACAGCCAUAAGCCAUAUGAGGUCACCACGGAACUGCAGGUUAGGACCCACUCGGACUCCGUAGCCACAAACUCGAACCUGAAGCGCAAGUGAAUCAGGCCGCUCAUUCACCCUCACACACACUCAGAGGUUAUCACAAUGCCUCCCACUCCCUGGGAAUCCCUAACUAGUAGCCCAAUCAAGCACAACUUUCAAUCGGCUACACCUGACAGUUGCUCCACCCAAGCAGGAGGUUCCUCUGCUUCCAAUCUGGAGCACUAGGACUGCUGCUCCGGUCAGGCACAGCUUCUCACCGGGAGAGUCUCCCUCAGGGGGUGAUCGGUCCCCUCUUCUGCCCAUUGGGGCAGGACCUGACUGGGGUUUGCCCCGGGGCCUUACCUUGUCCGGAUGCCUUCCUGGUGAGUUGGUCUGUCUCUGCACUGAGUCCAGUCGGGGUUCAGUCACCCGGGAGUCAGGAAUGCCGCUCACAAAGGAGGACCCGGAAUACUGUUGGAUGGCACGCCGCCUCAUUCGGUUCAAGGCUCCCCAGCUCCUGGGUGGCCUCGCCUCCGUUCUAGGUGGCUCAAGGGGCCAGAACAGUUGAAAUCUUGCUGGGGCCUCCAGAAAUGUUAGGGCAGCUGCCCAGCAGCUCUGUGCCACAGCAUAUCAGCUCUGGCGACAGCCCUAUGGCUAUAGUGUACCAGCUCCAGCAGCUCUGUGGCUACAGCAUAUCAGCUCUUUUACCCAGCUAGAAACCAAGCGAGCACUCAGAGAGUAGGAGAACUCAGGUUUAUCACGCUGGUGGGCUCAGAGGAGAUCGCUCUCCGGAGUCUGAGCCCCAAAGUGGGGUUUCACAAGGCUUUUAUGGGCUAGUUCUUCCAGGUCCAUGCUUGGCGGACCAGAGUGAGAACUGGCAAGUUUACAGAAGCAGAUGCGUGGGGGAGGGGUGGUUAGGGGUAGUUGGCUGGGUUUUGCUUAGUCAUCAUGGCGGAGUCUCUCCUUUCUACAUUUUUAUCAGGACAUUUUCUCCUACAAGUAUGCUUUCACAAGUAAAACAAACUAAUGAUAUCUUUUUCUUCAAAAAUAAUUAAAACACAAGGCUUGAGAUAUCCAAGUGUUUACUAGAUGUGCAUAGAAGACUCUUGUAAGCAGAACGGAGUGACUCAUUCCCUGAGUAUUCUAGGAAACCAGGUUUUAUCAUUCAGAAUCACCAUUUGAAAAGUAAGCAAUUAUUCUAGAGGGAAACACAGAUCUUCACAAAUCAGGUUGAAAAUGUCCAAGGAUUAACCAGCAAUAUGCAUAAAUACUGAGAAUUGGGAGGCACAGAAGAAAUGGCAGGAAACACUCUUUAGGGAAAAUAGUGAAGCAAAGGAACAGAAAGAGCUAAGAUAACACCAACAC
RNAcentral lists this long non-coding RNA (5302 nucleotides) under Sus scrofa (pig). RNAcentral's name for it is "lncRNA (ENSSSCG00000058436.1, ENSSSCG00085004004.1)". The record is from RNAcentral. Lineage: Eukaryota; Metazoa; Chordata; Mammalia; Artiodactyla; Suidae.